Molecule: long non-coding RNA, 1549 nt
Organism: Mytilus trossulus (common blue mussel)
Lineage: Eukaryota; Metazoa; Mollusca; Bivalvia; Mytilida; Mytilidae
Exons: 8
Source: RefSeq, a predicted model, not a curated record
AGAAAUGUUCAGUAAACGACACAAGUUUUCCCGAUGUACUCCGGGUUUUACAUCAGUGUUGUUUGCAACGCCGUAUCCUUCAAUUUCAUUGAAGACAUCAAGCGAACAUAAACUUGAACGGUGUAUGAUGUGCUUGCAAAAGUAAAAAAACAACGUACAUAAACGCCAACGUGUACAUAGAGAUUUUCAUUGAAAAGAUGUACUCCGGAAUUAUUCCGCUUUUGACUCCAUUUUAUAUUUUUAUUUGAGCUCUCUACGUUUGAGGUAGCAAAGGUAUACACAUGAAUACAAAAACGAAAAAAAGUUUCUUUUUUUCUCUCUUUUGAAAUGGUAAUAUACGCUGUUAAAAUAUAUAAACAUGCAGAUAUGUAGUACCUAUUGCAAGAUUGCAAUAUUUUUAAAAAUUGUUACAUAAAAAAGUAAGCAAAUUCAGUUCUAGAAUUAAUAGAUUAAAUUAAACUACAGGGACUUCGGCUUGUCAACUAAAAUCACCAUGGACCUGCUAGAGCACUAGAUUUUUCAUUACAGAAGAAGUUUAAGAACUGAAUCGUUUCUCUAUAGAGAAAAGGUUGAAAAGCAUUUUAAUUUGAGGAUAUUCCAACCUGAAGCAAGUUGUACCAAUGUUAAUGAUGGAAGGCCCUGUUAGAAUACUGUGCAUACCUGGGGCUAAAACUUAAUCAAAGAUGACCUAUGCUGAAGUGGUGAGACUUGCUAUGCAUGUAACAGGAGACCAAACUGAGACCACCUUUGAUAUAAAGUGUAUAGAAAUGAAGAAAUCAAUGGGAGCCCCUGCCAAAAGGAGGAGUGUUGUUACAGAAUAUAAGUUCCCAAUGAAACAGGGUAUAGAUGAGUGAUCUAGUGUUUGAGUUCACUGAGGAUGUGGCUGUCAUCCUAACAAACAAAGGUUUACAUAGUAUUUAUCAGGCAACAUUCAGACAGUCAGAUAUUCUACAUUUCGGGUACGGAAUAAAGAAAUUGCUGUUGAGGAAGAGAGGAGUUUCUGUGACGAGAUUGAUACACAUAGAGCAUUUGGUAGUGUAUAAUAACAAAGUGUAAUGAAGUUGUGAGUAGUAUUUUAACCAAAAGAACAUCUACCCUAACAACAGUGAAGAUUAAAGGGAUCAGUUGCUGUAUGGUGAUAUUGAAAGAAAUCCAGGACCUACAAUGGUUUAUGAAGACUUCUUAGAGCUUGCCAUAUAAGUGUCAACAAUUUUAAAGAACAGAGAAGACUAUUAUUGCACUUAGUUUUGAGUUUUUGUUUUAUAUUUUAUCACUAUGAUAGACUAAUGUUAAAUUCAGGAAUUGUAUUUUUCUGAUAUAUCUGUUUUGUUAUUACGUUUUACUCAUUUUUAAAUACGUUUGAGACGUUUUUUUUAUACCUUUUCCUACUUGAGUAGCAUUGACAACUAUUUUAAGUUUUUAGUAAGGUUACUUUCUUUGGGUUUUGUAUUAUAUAAUAUUAAGAUGUCAUACUUGAAUACCUUGUAGUUAUGAACUGUGUAUUUUACUUCUUGAUUCUUUGAUAUGUGUAGUAUUAUUCUCCCCCCCC